CUUUAGGUUGGGCGACCGGCGCACGGGUGCGUAACGCGUAUGCAACCUACCUUUAACAGGGGGAUAACACUGAGAAAUUGGUACUAAUUCCCCAUAACAUUCGAGAAGGCAUCUUCUUGGGUUAAAAACUCCGGUGGUUAAAGAUGGGCAUGCGUUGUAUUAGCUAGUUGGUGAGGUAACGGCUCACCAAGGCAACGAUACAUAGGGGGACUGAGAGGUUAACCCCCCACAUUGGUACUGAGACACGGACCAA
This 253-nucleotide ribosomal RNA is filed under the name uncultured bacterium. Its description in RNAcentral is "partial 16S ribosomal RNA". It matches the Rfam family "Bacterial small subunit ribosomal RNA", at positions 78 to 334 of the family's 1533-position model. The record is from RNAcentral.